UGGUCAAGUUAUUAAGGGUGCAGGGCGGAUGCCUUGGCACUAGGAGCCGAUGAAGGACGUGAUAAGCUGCGAUAAGCUUCGGGGAGUUGCACGUAAACUUUGAUCCGAAGAUUUCCGAAUGAGGAAACUCACUUAGAGUAAUGUCUAAGUAUCAUUAAGUGAAUACAUAGCUUAAUGAGGGGAACUCAGGGAACUGAAACAUCUAAGUACCUGAAGGAAGAGAAAGAAAUUCGAUUCCGUAAGUAGCGGCGAGCGAACGCGGAUUAGCCCAAACCAAUAAAGUUUUCUUUAUUGGGGUUGCGGACAUAUCAUAACGAAGAGGUAUCGUAAUUGAAGAGGUUUGGAAAGACCCACCACAGAAGGUAAUAGUCCUGUAUGUUAAACGAGAAGACUUUAGAUAUGAUCCAGAGUACCACGGGACACGUGAAACCCUGUGGGAAGCAGGAGGGACCACCCUCCAAGGCUAAAUACUACCUAGUGACCGAUAGCGUAUAGUACCGUGAGGGAAAGGUGAAAAGAACCCCGGGAGGGGAGUGAAAUAGAACCUGAAACCCUGCACUUACAAGCUGUGGAAGCACAUUUCUUGUGUGACCGCGUACUUUUUGUAGAACGGGCCAACGAGUUACGU
Molecule: ribosomal RNA, 628 nt
Filed under: Clostridioides difficile
Lineage: Bacteria; Bacillati; Bacillota; Clostridia; Peptostreptococcales; Peptostreptococcaceae
Description: partial 23S ribosomal RNA
Rfam family: Bacterial large subunit ribosomal RNA
Source: RNAcentral